RNAcentral lists this ribosomal RNA (460 nucleotides) under uncultured bacterium. RNAcentral's name for it is "partial 16S ribosomal RNA". It matches the Rfam family "Bacterial small subunit ribosomal RNA", at positions 338 to 795 of the family's 1533-position model. The record is from RNAcentral.
CCUACGGGAGGCAGCAGUGAGGAAUAUUGGUCAAUGGCCGGAAGGCUGAACCAGCCAUGCCGCGUGAAGGUCAGUGCCCUAUGGGCGUUAAACUUCUUUUGUGCGGGAGCAAUAAUGGUCACGUGUGGCCAGACGAGAGUACCGUACGAAUAAGCAUCGGGUAACCACGUGCCAGAAGCCGCGGUAAUACGGGGGAUGCAAGCGUUAUCCGGGAUUAUUGGGUUUAAAGGGGGCGUAGGCUGUGAGGUAAAUCAGCGGUGAAAUGCCCGCGCUCAACGGGGUGAAGUGCCAUUGAUACUGCCUUUCUGGAAUGCGAAUGCCGUGGGAGGAAUGUGUGGUGUAGCGGUGAAAUGCAUAGAUAUCACACAGAACACCGAUUGCGAAGGCAGCACGCGAAUCCGCGAUUGACGCUGAUGCACGAAAGCGUGGGUAUCAAACAGGAUUAGAUACCCGAGUAGUC